This 6423-nucleotide long non-coding RNA is filed under the name Gossypium barbadense (sea-island cotton). RNAcentral's name for it is "long non-coding RNA (GBAR_LNC009804)". The record is from RNAcentral. Lineage: Eukaryota; Viridiplantae; Streptophyta; Magnoliopsida; Malvales; Malvaceae.
AAAAGAGAAAAAAAUAAAACACAUUAAGCUAUACUUUUUAAUACACGUGGAAAAAAUCUUUUUGAUUCAAAAAAGAAAACUUUUUUUUUGUCCGAGACUUUCAAGUAUCUACUAGGCAUGAUAAAUGACAACACAAUAUUUUUUCAAUUUCUUUUUUUAUAUAUUUAUGUAUCUUAAUAUGAAUUCGAUAUUCAAAUAAACAAUAUAAAUUUCAGAUAAUGGAUUUUCGAAGUAUCUAUAUGCAUCCAUUCUAGAUUUGCAAUGAAUAUCAAAUACAAAUUUUAUCCAAAUCUGAAAGAUGUAUAUUAAAUAUUUGAAAUUUACAAUCUGAAUUGGCACCAUUGUUGCCUAAUAGUCAUAUUAAACUCUAAGCAAAGAUCUCCCAUAGCUAUUUUCUACAUCCAUAAAAACUCGACUAUGAUACUUUGCUUAAAAGAUAUUGAAUUUCUUAUUGUCCGACUCACCAAGUGUUAAUAAAAAGUAGACAUAUAGAGAGAGAGAGCGCGCUAGGGUUGGUAUCCUAUUCCAUGUUUUAAUUUCACUAGUAAAAUUAAGAAUUCGAUUCUUAUGUUAUUUCUUUUUUUUUGAAUAAUUACAUUAGUCGUUUUCAAAUUAUGGUUCAAAUUUUAACCUAAUCUCAAAAUACUCUAAUUGAGUCCUCAAAAUAUUAAUAUUAUAUUAAUUAUGUUCGUUCUACCAUCUCGAGCCAUUAACUUUAAGAUUGAAUGUUAGCUUGGACCAAAUGUACAAUAUCUAUAUAAAAAAUGUGGAAUGUACAAUAUAUACAAAAAAAUAUGGAUAAGGUUUUAAACAUUUGAACUUGCAUUUUUUGUUAAGUCACGUCAAAAUGGAUGAAAAAAUUAAUGUUUUUUAACUUUGUUGACAUAGCAUAAAUGUAUAUUGCCAUAUAGUUUUAAUAAUUUUUUUAUUUUUAAAAAAUAGUUUCUAAUUAUUUGCGAUUCAUAUGGCAAUUCAUGUGUUUGUAACGUCAUCAAAGUUAAGAAACGUUAACUUUUCCAUUCAUUUUGAGGUGAUUUAACAAAAAAAAAGUUUAGAGGCUAAAAAGGCAAAAAGAACUAAAUAUAGGGCUAAAAUGAUUUUAUUUUAUAAAGUUGGAGAGCCAAAUAAAUCAUUAUGUCUUAAAAAAUAGUCCUAAAUUUUAAUGACACGAGUUUUUUUUAAACAUGUCAAAUCUAAAUUAUUUUUUCUUUUAUUAAAUUUAAUUUGUUAAUACAAUAGGUUUAUAUGUGUUUAAAUUUGAUCUAUGCAUUUUAAAUAUUCUCGCGUUAUCGAGCUUUGAUUUAACACUCGUGUUAGAUUGAUGGAAGGAACUAAUUUAAAAUUUAGGCCAAAUAAGGCUUUACAUGAAAUUAACCUUUAAAUAAAUAAUACCUAAUAUAAUACCAAAAAUUAAAAGAAUGUCAUAAUUCAUUUUUGGAAGAAUGAUCAAUUUAGUCUUCAACGUUAUAUUUUUAUUGUCUUGGCCCUUAUCAUUUUUUGAGUAAGAUUUGGUUAUUAACAUUUCAAAAAUAGUAAAAUCGAUUCUCUUUAAUAAAAAUGUUGACUAAAACAUUUUUUUUUUUUUACGAUUCUGGUGUGGCAACUCGCGUGGCAAUCCAUGUGUACUUUGUGUUGGCAUGACGCUAUUUAUCUUAUAUGUUAUAUCAACAAAUAAUUUAAAUAGGUAAAACUUUUCAAGAAAUAAAAAAUAGGUAAAAAUAUCUGUAACACCUCCUAACCCCAAACGGUUACCGGAACGAGGUUAUGAGGCAUUACCGGACAUAUCAGACAACUUACUAAUAAUUUACAAUUAAUAUAACUUUUAUGGUAUAAUAUAAUAAUUGAGUCCCUAUCUUGAACUCUCAAAGUUCAAGCACGUGUUAAAAGUAGAACGGAACUUGUUCGAAUAUUCUGAAUUUUUUUUUAUAAAAAUUUCGGUCUGCUUAUUUUUACUUAAAACCUUCUGCAAAUUCAAACUAAAACAACCAGCACCAAUUUUUCACAUUCAUAUAACUAAUAUUUAUAUCAUUAACAUAAUUUCAACUUAAUAACUAUCAUAUCAUCAUUCAAAAUUGAUUAGAAACUUCAUUCAUUUAACAACUUAAUGUUCAUGUAUCAAAAUAUCAUAUACUUUUCUUACCAUUUCAUUUAACCAUCUAAAUCUUAUAAUUCAACCUUCACUACCCAAAGUAAUAUGCAUAUUCAAGUGACUAUAUAACACCUAUGUACAUGCCACCUUUACCCAAAAGAAAAAUAUACAUCACCAAAUUUGUGUUGGAGUCGGGAAUGUUCUGGAUGCUGAACCGGGACACUUGACUUCUACUAACCUGCGCACGGAAACAACCGUACGCUGAGUAUGGAUAUACUCAGUGAUAUUACCAUAAUUCAAAUUAUAUCAACAAUAGUAAAAAUAUAAAUAUUAAAAUACCUAACAAUUAAUGUCAUAUGUACUAAUUCAUAAAUCAAUGUAUUUUCUCAAACUUAAAUUUAUAUCACUUAUGAAUAUACAUUUCAUACUUUUCUCUUAUUAUCACAAUUCCAAUUUCAAUUCGUAAUUCAAUUUAUUUUUCUCGUUUCAAUGCCUCAAAUUCACAUUUCAAUUUUUCACCCUAUUAACGUAACUCGGACUUUGGCGGAUACACGGAUCCAACCAAACACACCAAUAUGGCACCCAGUGCCUCAUCGGAUAGUUCGAAGUAAUAGUUGACACCCAGUGUCUCAUCGGCCUAGCCGAAGUAAAGUUGGUACCCGGUACCUCAUCGAAUCUAUCCGAAGAAAUAUAGUGACAUCCAGUGUCUCAUCGACUCGAGGUCGAAGUAUCCCUGAACACUUCCAAUCCUAUGGCAUGCCAACUAUAUCCGACUCAGCCCGACUAGUUAAUAGGGUAUUCAAUUCACUUUCUCAAUCCUCUAUCAUCCCUGAACACUUCCAAUCCUAUGGCAUGUCAACUAUAUCCGACUCAGCCCGACUAGUUAAUAGGGUAUUCAAUUCACUUUCUCAAUCCUCUAUCACUUUCAAUUCACAAUUCAAAUCACCAAUCAUUUUUCAAUCAAUACGCUUUUCAAAUAAUUACAUCUUCCAUAAUUCACUUAUUCAAUUCAAUUUGAUUCAAUUUGCAUCACUUUCAUUUUCACUCAAUAUUCAUAUCAAUUUCACAUACUUACCUCAAGUCUUACUUACCAUACAUAACAAUAAAAAAAAUUCAGCAAUCAAUAAUAAUUAAAAUUCGAAUUAUAGUAAUACACACCGUAAUUCUCCCGUUUUAGUACUCGAUGACUUUCUCCUUUCCUUUCGAUGCUGAUGCUUCAGGUUCUUUGUUGGCUACGAAAAUAAUAAUUUAUAAUCAUCAAUACAACAUGAUUCAAUUUAAUUCAUGAGCCUAAACAUGCAAAUUUAACCAUUUUUAAUGUAUAUAUAUAAUUUCACCAUUAAGCUGUCUACUUGAGUCAUUGUUACUAAAUUAUUUAUAUCUUGAGCUACGAAACUCCAAAUUAAUAUCCGUAAAUUUUCCUUAAAACUAGACUCAUAUAUCUUCUAAUCAUAAAAUUUCCAGAAUUUUUGGUCUAGCCAUUUAAUACAGUUUAUUCGUUAAAUACUCCCCUGUUAUUUCAUUUGACAGUUCUGACCUCUCUCUACUAAAACUAAAUUAUCUCAUUGUACAGAACUCGAAUAAGGUUCUUGUUUAUUUAUUUUGAAACUAGAUUUAUUAAGGAGUUCACAUAUAUAAAUUACACUCCAUAAUAAUUUUUGUACAAUUUUUAAUGAUUUUCCAAAGUUAAAACAGGGCAUCUCGAAAUCACCCCGAACCAGUAUUACAAAAUUUCAAAUAUCUCUUGAUUCAUCAAUUAAUUGCUUACACUGUUUCUACUAUAAGAAACUAGACUCAAUAAGCUUUAAUUCCAUAUUUUGUUCAUCCUCUAGUUCAAUUUAUAAAAUUUUUAGUGAAUUUUCAAAGUCAGACCAUUGCUACUUCCCAAAACUGUUUUGAUGAAAAAUGUUAAUAACCAAAUUUAUAACACCAAUUCACACCUUAUUCCUAUUCAAAUUUCAUUUAAACUCAAAUUUAACUAUUAAAUUUUUAACAUAUUUUCUUAAUUCCUAAUUUUCCUCAAUCUAGUCCCUAAAACACAAAACUUAUAGCUUACUUUGCAAUUCAAUCCUUAUAUCUAUUCUAACUUGAAUUUCGUUCAAUUAAACCCCUAUUUCAUCAUUUUAUUCAACAUGAACUUUGUUUAAAAACCUAAGAACUUCGAAACUAACAACUUAAUUUCACCAAAAACUUGUUUUAAGACUUCUAAAAUAUCAAAAUUAUGAGAAAAGGACUUGAUUGAGCUUACCAAUUAACUCUAAGCUUCAUAAACCUUAUUUCCCCUUUUCUUUCUUCUUUCCUUUCUUUCUCCCCUGUUCUUCUCUGUUUCGUUUGCUUUCAUUCUGUUUCUUUUAACUUAUUUGUUUCUUUUAUAUAUAAUAAUAAUAUAAUAUAAUAUACUUAAUUUUUAAAUAAAUAUAUAUUUUUUUUAAUCAAUAAAAUCUUUGAUAUUUUCCACGUUAAACCGCCUCAGCUAUAGGAAAUGGUUUAAUUUCCUCUUAAGUCCUUCUAAUUUUUCUUUAAUCUAUAAUUAAACUUUUACUCUUAUUCAAUUUAAUCUUUUUUACUAAUUACUCUAAAUUAAGCUAAAUUUACUUAAUUAAAACCUAAUUAAACACACUACUAGACUCAUAAAUAUUUUUAAUAAUUAUUUUCGAACUUAUUUCACUAAGACGGAGGCCCGAUAACACACUUUUCUGGUGCCCACGGAUUUUGGGUUGUUACAAUAUCUCUCUAGUCCCUUUAAAAUUUCGAGAAAUAACAUUUUUUUGUCAAAUGUGCAUAAUUUUGUUUGGAAUAAUAACAAAUUUAUCUAUUGUAAUUUACAAAUUCUAUCAACUUGGUCAUGAUUUAACAAAUUUUUCCUAAACAUGUUUUUAUAAAUGUGUAUAUGUUAAGACUAAAUUUGUUAUUAUACCAAUCAAAAUUAUAUAUAGUUGAUGAAAGAUACUAGCGUCAUGAUUAAUUGUCCUUGAUUGCUCGCUUUUAAAAUUAAAAUGGAUUAAACUAAUUCGAUUUUGAGAGGGACUAAUCUGCGCAAAUUCAAAAUUGAUAAGAUUUGGAGAGGUCUUUUUACCUAAAAAUUAUAAAUGGUUCAUAAAAGUAAAAAAAUAACAAAACAUGAAGUACAUGUAGAUUGCCUUAAGGGCCAUCAUGUUUUAGUUAGUAUUUUUGUUAAAAAAAUCAAUUCGACUCAUUUUUUAAAAGUUCAUAAAAAUUUGUCUCUUUCUAAAAGGUCGAGAACUAAAUUUAGUUUUUUUUUUAAAAAAGGAGAGAAUAAGAGCCAAAUUGACAAAAAAAAAUAUAAGCAUUAAGGGGUAAAUUUAUUAUUAUACUUUUUUUUAAAUGAAAUUGGGCCAAAAUGGGCCUAAGUUAGCUUCACCUAAUAUAUAUAUAUAUAAUAACAUUACUAAGGCCUUUCCAACUGGUUGAAGGCCUUUCGGCUUUAGGGUUUUACGCUUCUAUAUAUAAACCUAAACGCCAACUUUUCCUUCAUUUCGCCGCUGACCCUAUUGAACAACAACAAACCAAAGGUUAACCAUGAGAGCUAAGGUAAAAAAAGAAACCAUUACCAUUGUUUUAUUUUAUUUUAACUUUUUAAUUUAGAUAUUGAUAUGGGUUUAUUAUUUUUGUUUCAUUUCAGUGGAAGAAGAAGCGUAUGAGAAGGUUGAAGAGGAAGAGGAGAAAGAUGAGGCAAAGAUCUAAGUAGUACAGUCUUUGUUGUUCUUCAUGGAUAGUUAUUUGAUGGGUACUUUUUUUUUGAAGGAUUUAAAGCUGUUGUUUUCAUUUUCAUGGCUUAGGGUUUUCGUUCUUGUAUUUUUGUUGAACCAUUUUCAUCUACUUGAUAAAUGUUAUUGAGUUUUUAGGGAUUGAAAUGAUUUGAAUUGGAAAGAGAUUGUUUCUUGCUAUCUUUGUGGAAUAAUUAGCACAAAAUGUUUUAGGAUAUUGAAAUGUGUAGAACUGUUGAACUGGAUGGGUUUCACUUAGGGUCGGGUAAAUUUCGGAUUCGGGACAUUUCGAGUUUUUGGUCGGUUUGGUUUGUAUUAGAGUUCUGGGUUUUCGGGUUUAUGACUUAUUUAGGGUUAGACUACUAGGGUUUUCUCCGUUGGGUCAGUAUCAGUUUUUGCUAUUUAGGGUUCUUUGUUUUAGGUUUGGGUCGAGUUCAAGUUGUGAGUUCUUUGUUGUCAAAUAGAGUUGGGUCUUGGGUUAGGAGUGGUUUGGGUCCAUUUCGAGUUUGAGUUUGCAUGGAUUCAAGUUGUGAGUUCCUUGUGAUCAGAUAGAGUUGGAUCGGAAUUUUGUUAGGAUUGAUUAAAUUUGAUUUGUGUUUAGGUUGU